Molecule: RNA transcript, 4537 nt
Organism: Etheostoma spectabile (orangethroat darter)
Lineage: Eukaryota; Metazoa; Chordata; Actinopteri; Perciformes; Percidae
Gene: acap1
Gene name: ArfGAP with coiled-coil, ankyrin repeat and PH domains 1
Exons: 23
Source: RefSeq, a predicted model, not a curated record
GGGGUGUGUAGAGAGAGAGAGAGAGAGAGAGAUACUCGAGUCGGCUCUCUUGGGAAGUAACAUCCACUAAUCUACCGGCUGCCAUCUGAUUGUAUCUUCUUCUUUUGGAAUUUCGAUCCGUAUUGCUCAAUAAGGGAUUCUUUCUUAACGGAAAAACUUUUGCAGCAUCCUCUGCUCCGGCUCAAGGACUAACUCGCCUUGUAUGUGCCAGAUUGAAAUGGUAACGCUGCUAACAUCUCCCUGCGUCCAUUCAGAACUUGUGACAUAAGUCGUGUUGUGGCUCGCGACAGAGGAGGCACGCGGACUCGGUGUCCCGUCAAGAGAGAGAGAAAGGGCUGAACAGGACGAGCUGUGGGCGGAAUACAAAGUGUACUUGUGAAAGAAAACGUCCGACAAAAAGAAUGAGACAAGCUGCCGGUGUGGGGCCUUAAAAGCGAAGAAGAUUUAGUGCUCUCUGUCGGAAGAGGAUUCAACAAAAUCCAGUUUUGUGUGUGAUCUGCUACUGGAAACGGAGGGAUGACAGUCAAGCUGGACUUUGAGGAGUGUUUAAAAGACUCUCCGCGCUUCAGAGCUGAAAUUGAAGUGGUACAAAACGAUGUGUGUGAUCUCGAGACACGAUUAGAAAAGCUUGUGAAACAAUGCCAGGCCAUGCUGGAAGCAGGCAGAGUCUACUGCCAGACCAGCAAGAGCUUUGUCAACGGCCUCCGGGAUCUGGGACAGCACUGCUCCGGGGACAAGACCAUGGAGGAGUGUUUGGACAAAUUUUCCAAAAAGCUGUCUAUCGUCUUGGAGGCACAGGGGGAAGUGAUUGAAACCACACAGAAGUCAGUCAAGACGAAGCUGCAGAACUUUGUCAAAGAGGAUGUCCGUCGGUUCAAGGACGUGCGCAGGGGGUUUGAGCGUGGCAGUGAAUGCCUCGAGGGGGCGCUGGUGAGGAACGCUCAAGCCCCACGGGGAAAACAACACGAAGUGGAGGAGGCCAGCAAUGCUCUGCUAAACGCACGCAAGACCUUUCGGUCUGAGGCCCUGGAUUACGUCCUGGAGAUUAAUGUCAUUGAGGCCAAGAAGAAGACAGAAAUUCUGAUGGCAAUGUUGUCACUGAUGGAGGCCCAGGCUCAGCUCUUCCAACAUGGCCACCAGUCUUUCUCAGAACUGGAGGAAUAUCGACAGAAACUGAAUAAAGAGCACACUCAGUUUGUCCUAAACGCUGCCCGGGAGAAGAGGGACAUGGAGCAAAGACACGCUGCAAUUAAGAAAAAGGACGUGUCCUAUGAUGACUCCAUCAUGGAUUUCAAUGCUGACGCAGCCAAUGGAAUUGCCAUGGAGGGAUACCUUUAUAAGAGAGCCAGCAAUGCUUUCAAAACCUGGAGCAGGCGUUGGUUCUCGAUUCAAAAAAAUCAGCUGGUGUAUCAGAAGAAAUUUAAGGACCAGCCUACAGUUGUGGUGGAGGACUUGCGUCUUUGCACAGUCAAGCCUAGCAGUGAAAACGAGAGACGAUUCUGCUUUGAAGUGGUGUCCCCGUCAAAGUGUUGUUUGUUACAGGCAGACUCGGAAAGGCAGCAGCAGGCGUGGAUAAGUGCCGUCCAAAACAGCAUCGCCUCAGCCUUUCAGGAGCACAGAGAGGACCCACACAGCCCAAGACAACGCCUCAGCUCGGUGUCGGCGAGCAGUUUGGGGGGAGGAGUGGAUCAGGAGAACAAGGGCUGCAAGGCGCUGGAGGAAGUCCAGGCGAUCCCAGGGAAUAAGCAGUGCUGCGACUGCGAGGAGGCCGGUCCUGAUUGGGCCUCCAUCAAUCUGGGCAUCACGCUUUGCAUCACAUGCUCAGGAAUACACAGGAGCCUGGGAGUCCAUUUCUCCAAAGUACGCUCGCUCACUCUCGACUCCUGGGAGCCAGAGCUCAUUAAGUUGAUGUGUGAAUUAGGUAACACAGUAAUCAACCAGAUCUACGAGGCCCGGAUUGAUGAGAUCACCAUCAAGAAGCCCCACGCCUCCAGUCCCAGAGGAGACAAGGAGUCGUGGAUCCGAUCAAAGUACGUUGAAAAGAAGUUCAUCCAAAAGCUGCCCGGGACCGGCAACACGCUGCUGAGGAGGUCCAGCGCCAAAAGGAACCGAGCAGCCACGCAGGACCGGACCAUACAGCGGCCGCCGCUCAAACCCAAACCAAACCGAGCCACUCUGCCUCGGGUCACAGGGCUGAGCCCCAGUGACCUUGUCCAAAAGAACAAUACACACAAAGAUGUACAAGAAGAUGAAGAGGAUCUGAGCAGCCUUCACCCCGGUGCGCUGCUGUACCGCUCAGCUGCCCUGCAGAACUUCCCUGUCAUGGCUGACGCUUUGGCCCACGGGGCCAACGUCAACUGGGUCAACGUGGCCGAGGAGUCCAGCACACCGCUGAUACAGGCCGUCUCAGCGAAUGCCCUGGCAGCCUGUGAGUUCCUGCUGCAGAACGGCGCUAACGUUAACCAGGCAGACAGCAACGGAAGAGGGCCACUUCACCACGCCACCAUCCUGGGUCACACCGGGUUGGUUUGUCUCUUCUUGAAGAGAGGAGCAGACUACAACGCCAGAGACAAGAACCAGAAAGACUCCAUAACUAUUGCCGUGGACAACGCCAAUGCUGACAUUGUCACUUUGCUGCGGAUUGCCAAAAUGAACAAGGAGAUGCGGGAGAUGGAUGGAGCCUUUGGCCAAUCAGGUCACUCGGGGGGGCAGGGAUCUGGAGGUUUAUUGGGUGGGACAGGAGGUGGGCGGGGCCACGGCAGGAAGAGCCUCCAGUCUAUAAAGAACCACAUAAGUGGCUGGGCUCUGGGGGGGCAAAAUGAUUAGUGAGGAUAGAAAUCAGCCCAGGACAAGAGACAGGCGGCGAGACUGGACUGAGCUUGUUUUUGGUUAAGUAUCAGAAAUCACUGGGUUUGCAAUAUCAUGUGGUGUUUAUCUGCAGAGAAAGUGUCCUGACCUUCCACACAUCAUUAAAGGAAACAUGUCAUCACUUCUAAGAACGAAAAAAAAAAGUAAAAUUGCCAUGAUUAAGAAAACAUAAAAUCCAAUUCUUGUAAACUAAGAAAGAGCCAGAACACAGGGUAUGACAGAGUCUCAAGGACAUAAGUGAAACAAAUAAGGGACAUUGUGAGAAAGUAAAAGGAGUCCACAUUGCACUUUGAAUUACAAACGCACAUCGUCCUGCACUUUGAAGCCCACAAAAUCUCUGAAUACAGUGUCAACAGAGAGUGCUGCAUGCCAGUGUUUCCAAUGUUACUAAACUAGACCUAAAUCAGGCCUAUUCUUUCUAAUACUGUAUAUUUGGGAUAUUUUAUAUACAGGAUGUAGUGUUCUGGCUUUGUAAGAGUGCUUUUUUUAUCGUGCAUCUCCAUGUGUUUUGGACUUUUUCAGUCCAGUUAUAAAAUUCAAUGCUGUGUUUGGUUCUCAUGGACAGUUUUAUCCCUCUAUUCUGUGAAUAGUGACACAGUUAGAAAUCUGUUAUAUAUGUGUAUUUAUCAGAAUUCCAAGAGCUCUGUGCUGCAGCUCUUAAGCUUAACAAGGGUUUUGUUUGCAUUUUGUCCUUUUGGCUCCUUUUCAAGCUUCAAAGUUCCAUUCUUUCAUGACCAUCCUUUAAUGGCUAUCAAAGCUUUUUGUUAAGUUUUUGUGUCAUAUUCACUCACGGUUUUACUCAUAAAGGAAUGGAAACAUGAUGCUUUUGUCUGCUCGAAACAACUGCUGGUCAGUAUUUGACAUGCUGUGCUUUAUCACUGUUUGUAUGUCUUUGUUGUGUGCACUCAUGUGCCUUUGCCUUCUGCCCGCUGAGAUGUCCAGCUGGUCUCAACUGCUUGUGCAGUGUGCCACCUACUGCACACUAAGAGGUGAUGAAACCUACCAGGACAUCUUCAGAGACUUUUCACACAUGGCCUCAAACAACCCCGAAAAGCUCAAUCGUCGCAGUGCAGACCCCAAAUCUUAACCAGCUGUUACCUACUGGUUGCACAGCUGUACGAUGCCACAGUUCACACUUGUAUACUUUCAAACACAUAUAGAACAUGCUAGUAUCCUUCUCACAGACAUGCAGACACAUUUUCCUUGGCUACCUGCCACAUGUUCAUAGCUCAUCUGGUGUUGACUUCAUGCUCCAAACAGUUAAUUCAUAUUGCAAACACGUCAGACCAGAACAAUUGCAUCAAAGUGAGAACACUGGAGCUGCCUUUUUAGGCCAGCAUGAGGUGUCCAUGUGUAACAGAGGGUAACGCCAUCAUUCUGCCAAGAUUUCUUAAUUAAAUCUGGUAAAUCCGUUUUAUUUUUUUUGUACUAAAAGGGCAGUGUUUUUAUGUUAUUUCUAUUUAAUUUUUACAUGAAAAAGUCAAAAGUGUUUGUUGGAAAUGGACAUAAUCAUUGCAAAGAGGAAAACCUUAUGUCAAAUGUCUUCCACUGUAUUGUAUAGAUUUUUAAAUUUGGGACAAUUUUGGACCCUGUCUGUUUUGUUAAAAUUGUGCAAGGUACUUAAGAUUUGUUUUAUGAUCAAAUAAGCUGCAAUAAAAAACACAUUCAA